Molecule: RNA transcript, 3124 nt
Organism: Monomorium pharaonis (pharaoh ant)
Lineage: Eukaryota; Metazoa; Arthropoda; Insecta; Hymenoptera; Formicidae
Exons: 4
Source: RefSeq, a predicted model, not a curated record
CUCUCUCUUUUAUUAAUUUAUAAAAAUGAUUGGCCUCAUUGGAUCUUAGUUUGUCUCUGGAGAAAACUCAAUGUAUUAUUUUUAAUAGAAUAAAAUCGCCAGUUAACAAUGGAACAUUACUUCUGGAUAAUAGAUCAAUUCGGCUUCAGAACAGGGUCAAAUACCUUGGCUUAAUUAUGGAUGAGUCUCUCAGGUGGAAGUUCCACAUUGACGAUUUGAAGAAUAGAAUUAGGAGAUAUUCAAACAUUUUAAAAUGGAUUGCUGGUUCUUCUUGGGGGGUCAGUUCUCAGGACUGCAUAAGAUUCAUUAAUGCCACAAUUGGCGCCCAAAUGGAGUGGGGAUGCAUGUGGUACCACAGUGCUGCCUGUUCAUAUAUUUGCGCUCUGGAAAAAUCCCUAGGACUAUAAAUCCGCGCUUGGACUCCCUAGAUCAACUCAACAGAGUGGUCUGGAUAUUCAGCAAACAGUUUUAACCUUGUCUUUCGAAGAGGAUUAUGGUUAGGACGGAUAAAUAUCUAUGUAAAUUGAUUCAACUGAAAAGAUAUCAUAAUCAACAAAAUUAAAAACUAUCAUUCAUAUAGGUUAACUAGAAGGGUAGCGAAUAGGAACAUCCCGUACAUUGUUGAUAGAUGGCCUGCGACGGUUCUAGAACUCCCGUGGAAGAGGGAGGACCUCUGGGCCUUAGAAAUAGUCCUGGAAAAUGAUUGGAAAGAAUUGAACAUCUGUUUUGACUCUAAAAGCAACCUAGAGGUGAUUAAAUCCUCGGAGGAGGUAUAUCGAAAUACUAUUAUUAAACUUGGCUGGACAGAAUAAGGAUGCAACUUGCCGUAGCUAAAAAAAGGGAUCACAAGAUAAGAUUUACAUGGUGUCCAGCACACAAAAACAUAGAAAGGAACGAUAAAGUGGAUAGCACGGCUCAGGAUGGGACGCUGAUUGGUGAUUCGAUUGAUAAGUUCAACUAUAUAGCUUUCCCAGAGCUAUACAAAUGCUACAAAAUUUAAAUUUGGUUGGUCCAAGUCGACAAACUGUAAGUGUGGAUACCUUAUUCAGGAUAUUAAUCAUAUUUUCUGGGGUUGUCCCAAUCUCAUAAGACCCAGGGAGAAUCUGUAUAAAAGAUUAUUUGAACUUAGACUCAUCGCUCCCUAUAUAAUUGAAUAUCUGAUUUCUAUUUUGAAUAUAGUAUCGCCAAGGCAAUAAUCAGAUUUGUACUAGAGAGUAAAUUACAAAUUUAAUGCAUGGAGUUACCGUCUAGACUAAUGUCUUUGUUGAGUGCGUGCCGAAGGACUUUCCUUGCAGGUUGUGAAGGGGGACGUGGGCUCUACAUGCAGAAGAUCCUACUUUAACAAGAUCAGUCUAUUGGAAACCAGGGCACAAUCUGACCCCCCACGAUUGCCGCCCUCUAAGCCUUUAAAGCGUGGUACUGUGUACCCUUUUGGGACGGAAAUCCAUUGGGCGAAGGAAGAUGUGCGCCAUAUGGCGUCAAUGCCCCCUGGGGGCACACAUAUUUUCCGCGCCAUAUGGCGUCAAUGCCGACGAAGUGGUUAAAUAAGGGUGUUCAGCUCUUGCUGCCCUACCCAAAUGGUCUCGCGCGAGUGCAAAUGCACCGGCGCCAGCGAGAGCGUAGGCUUACCCCUUCUCCAAGGAGUAAUUAAAGAAUCAAAUUAAUUAAUUGAUUUGCGCAAUUAUUACCAAUAAUCUAGAGCCGAGGCGCCUCAGAAGGAAGCCGGCUAGGGGGAGAAUCACUCUCCUUUUGGAAAUUUUUCGAUAUCUAAUUCGGUUCAUUAAUGGUGUUUUUAAUUGACGCAUGCGCGCCGCCAGAGCGGGCCGCAUGCUCGCAGCGCGAUACACCGGGCCCGGCACCAAGAGCGCGUGAAUUCGCCAACGUUCGGUUACCGUGGCACAACGCAUCGUAUGUUCGUGACGGAUGGCGUAAAUUAUUUAGCCGGACGUAACAAUGAUAAUUCGACGAUUAUUAUUGUUUGAUACAUGCGUCGAUGUCAUCGUAACCCGACGAUGUUCCUGUUUGCCCAUUAGGAGUUAUCAGAGUGCGAGUUUGAGAUGAAAAUUAAAUAAAAUAUAAAAAUGAUGAUGAUUCGGCAGGCAUGUCUCCCGGUGAAUUAUCUUUUCUUUUUGAAUCGGGGAAAAAUAAUCGCGCAACAAUGAAUUACAUUUUUAUUAUUACAUCUUACAAAGAACUGGUCAUGACUAAUCCGAUUUUUUUAAAAAUGUGUUUUCAAACAAAUAUUUAAGACACAUUUUUAUCAGCUUAAUUAAAAAAAUGAUUAGUAGAAUAAUUUAAGAAGCGAAACAAUCCCUGUAAGCUAUAUAGAGAAUGGAAGUAUUUGAAAAAUAUUAGAUUUUGAAAAAUUUAAACAUAAUUGCAAAGCAUAUAAAGAACCGUCAAUGUUUUACCUUUAAAAUAUUUUUUUCCGUUGUGAUAACUAAUAUUUAAAAGUAUUACGUUUAAAAGAUGUUUAAAUUUAGUUGAUAUAAAAAAUACGCACAUCUUAAAUUUUUGUGUCUAAGAGGAUAUUUCAAGAAUUGAAAUUUGACCGUUCCUCAAGUUAGUCGCACUUAAUAAUGAAGAACGAUCUCUAGAUGUGAAAGCGUCAUUUUCAUAUCGAUAGUUAUGCGUAAUUGCACAUUUUGUUGAUAAAUGCGUUUGUACUUUCUUUUUUAAACAAACAAAAAAAAAACGCGUCAAGCAUUCGUAAAGCGAAAUCAAGUAAAAUAAGAUGAGCAAAUAAUUCUGCAUGUGUAUAUUAUUAUUAGAAUUCUUUACUUAAAUUUAUACAAUAUGCCUUGUAUGCGUAUAUUUCUCAAAUACAAUGUGCAAUGGACCAAGUAUGACAGGAUUGAUAUCUUACUCGUGUAAUGUCGUGUCCCAUAACUCGUGUUCCAUCUCGAGAAUUAAAAAUUCCACCUUAAUCAUUUAGUUAUAAUUAUAUCGUAUUCUAUCUUCUUUUUUCGAGCAGAGGUCGAUAUGCCUGUUCUCUCCUUUUCUUGAAUGGUGUCGCAGGAUCGCGUAUUUGCACUCAAUGUAUUGCGCCCAUGAUUAGCGAAAAAACAAUAAGCGAUUAUUUAGAGAAUUGCAUAAUUACUAAAUAAAAAGCAGUGUCAUGUGU